AUUAGAUUAAUUAUUGUAUAUAAUUAAUUACAAUAUUUAGAUUAAUUAUUGUAAUCAGAUAUCCAAUACACUUGCUAAAUUUUCAAGGAAAGAAAGAUGAAGAAAGGUGUGAAAGGAUAAUGCUGCUGCUGAGACUACAUUAUUUCAGGGUGCUGGAAGAAUGUCCCAUCUGCCUAGCUAAGUCCACAACUCCUAUUUAAAUUUUAUGGAAGGAAUCUUCUAAGUUUAGGAAGUUCACUUCACUGGGACAGGAUCUCCCUCUGGAUAUUUCCAAAGGUACCUCCCUCUCUGCAUUGCUUAUGUAUAUAAUGCAGUUGAAGUUAUUUUAGAUGGAUUAUUUUAUUAGCCACCUGACAUUUAAAUGGAAGUUAGAGCUAUUGGAACCCAUUAUCCAUCUUCUUUGGUAAAAGCUCAGAUGUUUCUUAUAUUUGACCUGCUAAAACAUCCCAACUGAAAUAGGGACAUAAAAGAAGCUUUGUAUCACCUCAGACUGUUCCUUCGUCCCACAUCCUGCAGUACCAUUCCCCAACAUGAGCUACCUGUAGCUGCAUUCUUCCCAGUGCAUGAAGAGAAGUAGAUCCUUUAGGAAUGGGUUUGUCUCAAGCUACAAUGCAGAUCAGGAAAUGCUAUAGAAGAUGGUGGCUUCAGGAGUCAUCUAGAGAUGGGACCUGUAGGGACGCAAGGACACUUGCACCACACUGCAACUUCUGCCUGGGCUGUGUACCUAAGUUCUGUUUCCAGGGAAUCCAUUGCACAAGAAGGUAGGGCUGGUUGUCAUCCCCAUCUCACUCUGCUAUGCAGCUGGGACUUGACUAGUGUUUGCACCAAGAUGGGAUUGCAAAGGACUGUCAGUGACAAGAAUACAGAUUAAUGACAACACAGUCCUGCACUGGUAAUAGAGACUGGAGGGACAAACAAAAUGUUUGCAGACAGGGACAUGAAAUCAGCAGAGGCUGCGUUUACACUUAGUGGAAGGAUAGACAUAUUCAGAGAGAGAAUCAUCUGACCUAUUUUUUAUGCACCCUCCUGGCACCCAGUUAUGUUCACUGACCAAAAAGACUACUUCCUCCAAACUGAGACCAAUCUAUAAAAGGGGAAAGUGGGACAGAGUGACAUCUCCAAUCCCAACUGAAUUGAGUUUUAAAGAACUGCAGUGAAAAUACAAGGCACGUGAGCAUCACAAAAAAAGCAUUCCUGAAGAUGCAGAAAAGCUGGAUGCAAUUCCUUUGUACUCUUCAUACUGCUGGGACACUUUG
Neopsephotus bourkii (Bourke's parrot) is the source of this 1256-nucleotide long non-coding RNA. RefSeq lists it as uncharacterized. The transcript is spliced from 3 exons. The record is from RefSeq and is a predicted model, not a curated record. Lineage: Eukaryota; Metazoa; Chordata; Aves; Psittaciformes; Psittacidae.